GGAAUAUUGCACAAUGGGCGCAAGCCUGAUGCAGCGAUGCCGCGUGAGGGAAGAAGGUUUUAGGAUUGUAAACCUCUGUCUUAUGGGACGAUAAUGACGGUACCAUAGGAGGAAGCUCCGGCUAACUACGUGCCAGCAGCCGCGGUAAUACGUAGGGAGCGAGCGUUGUCCGGAAUUACUGGGUGUAAAGGGAGUGUAGGCGGGACUGCAAGUCAGAUGUGAAAACUAUGGGCUUAACCCAUAGAUUGCAUUUGAAACUGUGGUUCUUGAGUGAAGUAGAGGUAAGCGGAAUUCCUAGUGUAGCGGUGAAAUGCGUAGAUAUUAGGAGGAACAUCAGUGGCGAAGGCGGCUUACUGGGCUUUAACUGACGCUGAGGCUCGAAAGCGUGGGGAGCAAACA
RNAcentral lists this ribosomal RNA (399 nucleotides) under uncultured Ruminococcus sp. RNAcentral describes it as "bacterial SSU rRNA". It matches the Rfam family "Bacterial small subunit ribosomal RNA", at positions 358 to 774 of the family's 1533-position model. Lineage: Bacteria; Bacillati; Bacillota; Clostridia; Eubacteriales; Oscillospiraceae. The record is from RNAcentral.